RNAcentral lists this transfer RNA (76 nucleotides) under Thermotogota bacterium ADurb.Bin062. RNAcentral's name for it is "Thermotogae bacterium ADurb.Bin062 tRNA-Pro". It matches the Rfam family "tRNA". From Rfam's summary of the family: Transfer RNA (tRNA) molecules are approximately 80 nucleotides in length. Their secondary structure includes four short double-helical elements and three loops (D, anti-codon, and T loops). Further hydrogen bonds mediate the characteristic L-shaped molecular structure. tRNAs have two regions of fundamental functional importance: the anti-codon, which is responsible for specific mRNA codon recognition, and the 3' end, to which the tRNAs corresponding amino acid is attached (by aminoacyl-tRNA synthetases). tRNAs cope with the degeneracy of the genetic code in two manners: having more than one tRNA (with a specific anti-codon) for a particular amino acid; and 'wobble' base-pairing, i.e. permitting non-standard base-pairing at the 3rd anti-codon position. The record is from RNAcentral. Lineage: Bacteria; Thermotogati; Thermotogota. RNAcentral also lists the same sequence under 2 other names.
CGGAGCGUGGCGCAGCUGGAAGCGCGCAUGCCUUGGGCGCAUGAGGCCGCUGGUUCAAAUCCAGUCGCUCCGACCA